Molecule: long non-coding RNA, 435 nt
Organism: Corticium candelabrum
Lineage: Eukaryota; Metazoa; Porifera; Homoscleromorpha; Homosclerophorida; Plakinidae
Exons: 3
Source: RefSeq, a predicted model, not a curated record
AUAUCAGAAGAAUCACAGCUCGGCAAAUAUUCCACUGCCAAUCUGAUUGAAGAUCUGCGUGCAAUUGAGAAAUCGCUAGCACAAGCUUUUCCGCGUAUUUGCAAAUUCAUACAAUUGCUGACAAGCACUACACCUCCUUUUUCUCCAACCGACUUUCCAACGGCAAGCGUCAGCCCCUCCAACAAACCUCUAGCUUUUUCUAGACAAGAUCUAACUGUUCUGAAGGCGUUUGCAGCAAAGGUCGUCUACACAAAGCUGACACUUUCACAAGGAGAAAGGACGCCAACUGCAUGAACUAACCCUAAGCUCAGACCUUGAAACGGUAGUUUUAUGCUUGGUUGACGUAGCUGCAUAAUUGUCGUGUGUCUUUCCGGUAAAUCUGUUGUUUACUUGAAUGCUUGCUUGCAUAACAAAGAGUGCAAUACAAUACAGUGU